UCCUCUGUGGUGGAAUGGUAGACACGCAUGACUCAAAAUUAUGUGCUAAAUAAAGCAUGCCGGUUCGAGUCCGGUCAGGGGUA
Molecule: transfer RNA, 83 nt
Filed under: Discoplastis spathirhyncha
Lineage: Eukaryota; Euglenozoa; Euglenophyceae; Euglenales; Phacaceae
Description: tRNA-Leu
Rfam family: tRNA
About the family: Transfer RNA (tRNA) molecules are approximately 80 nucleotides in length.
Source: RNAcentral